AGUUUGAUCCUGGCUCAGAUUGAACGCUGGCGGCAGGCUUAACACAUGCAAGUCGAGCGGUAACAUUUCUAGCUUGCUAGAAGAUGACGAGCGGCGGACGGGUGAGUAAUACUUAGGAAUCUACCUAGUAGUGGGGGAUAGCACGGGGAAACUCGUAUUAAUACCGCAUACGACCUACGGGAGAAAGGGGGCAGUUUACUGCUCUCGCUAUUAGAUGAGCCUAAGUCGGAUUAGCUAGAUGGUGGGGUAAAGGCCUACCAUGGCGACGAUCUGUAGCUGGUCUGAGAGGAUGAUCAGCCACACCGGGACUGAGACACGGCCCGGACUCCUACGGGAGGCAGCAGUGGGGAAUAUUGGACAAUGGGGGAAACCCUGAUCCAGCCAUGCCGCGUGUGUGAAGAAGGCCUUUUGGUUGUAAAGCACUUUAAGCAGUGAAGAAGACUCCAUGGUUAAUACCCAUGGACGAUGACAUUAGCUGCAGAAUAAGCACCGGCUAACUCUGUGCCAGCAGCCGCGGUAAUACAGAGGGUGCAAGCGUUAAUCGGAAUUACUGGGCGUAAAGGGAGCGUAGGUGGCUCGAUAAGUCAGAUGUGAAAUCCCCGGGCUCAACCUGGGAACUGCAUCUGAUACUGUUGAGCUAGAGUAUGUGAGAGGAAGGUAGAAUUCCAGGUGUAGCGGUGAAAUGCGUAGAGAUCUGGAGGAAUACCGAUGGCGAAGGCAGCCUUCUGGCAUAAUACUGACACUGAGGCUCGAAAGCGUGGGUAGCAAACAGGAUUAGAUACCCUGGUAGA
This 791-nucleotide ribosomal RNA is filed under the name uncultured Psychrobacter sp. RNAcentral describes it as "bacterial SSU rRNA". It matches the Rfam family "Bacterial small subunit ribosomal RNA", at positions 10 to 794 of the family's 1533-position model. The record is from RNAcentral. Lineage: Bacteria; Pseudomonadati; Pseudomonadota; Gammaproteobacteria; Moraxellales; Moraxellaceae.